AUUGAACGCUGGCGGCAUGCCUUACACAUGCAAGUCGAACGGUAACAGGUCUUCGGAUGCUGACGAGUGGCGAACGGGUGAGUAAUACAUCGGAACGUGCCCAGACGUGGGGGAUAACGAGGCGAAAGCUUUGCUAAUACCGCAUACGUUCUAAGGAUGAAAGCAGGGGACCGCAAGGCCUUGUGCGUUUGGAGCGGCCGAUGGCAGAUUAGGUAGUUGGUGGGAUAAAAGCUUACCAAGCCGACGAUCUGUAGCUGGUCUGAGAGGACGACCAGCCACACUGGGACUGAGACACGGCCCAGACUCCUACGGGAGGCAGCAGUGGGGAAUUUUGGACAAUGGGCGAAAGCCUGAUCCAGCAAUGCCGCGUGCAGGAUGAAGGCCUUCGGGUUGUAAACUGCUUUUGUACGGAACGAAAAGGCUCUGGCUAAUACCUGGGGCACAUGACGGUACCGUAAGAAUAAGCACCGGCUAACUACGUG
This 482-nucleotide ribosomal RNA is filed under the name uncultured bacterium. RNAcentral describes it as "partial 16S ribosomal RNA". It matches the Rfam family "Bacterial small subunit ribosomal RNA", at positions 30 to 507 of the family's 1533-position model. The record is from RNAcentral.